RNAcentral lists this small RNA (127 nucleotides) under Marmota monax (woodchuck). Lineage: Eukaryota; Metazoa; Chordata; Mammalia; Rodentia; Sciuridae. The record is from RNAcentral.
GCUGGGUGGGGUGGUGCACACCUGUAAUCCCAGCAACUUGGGAGGCUGAGGCAGGAGGAUCUCAAGUUCUAGGUCAGCCUCAGCAACUUCGUGAGGCCCUAAGUUACUUAGUGAGACCGUGUCACAA